GCAAGUCGAGCGCCACCUUCGGGUGGAGCGGCGAACGGGUGAGUAACACGUUGGAACCUGCCUCGAACUCAGGGAUAACACCUAGAAAUAGGUGCUAAUACCGGAUAGUCCCGAAAGGGUAAAGAUUUAUCGGUUCGAGAGGGUCCUGCGGCCUAUCAGCUUGUUGGUGAGGUAAUAGCUCACCAAGGCUAUGACGGGUAGCUGGUCUGAGAGGAUGAUC
Molecule: ribosomal RNA, 220 nt
Filed under: uncultured bacterium
Lineage: Bacteria
Description: partial 16S ribosomal RNA
Rfam family: Bacterial small subunit ribosomal RNA
Source: RNAcentral